Dehalobacter sp. CF is the source of this 72-nucleotide non-coding RNA. The record is from Rfam. NCBI's taxonomy places the organism in Bacteria, Bacillati, Bacillota, Clostridia, Eubacteriales, Desulfitobacteriaceae.
UCCUCGAUAGCUCAACGGUAGAGCAAUCGGCUGUUAACCGAUAGGUUGCUGGUUCGAAUCCAGCUCGGGGAG